AUGAACGCUGGCGGCGUGCCUAAUACCUGCAAGUCGAGCGAACGGACGAGAAGCUUGCUUCUCUGAUGUUAGCGGCGGACGGGUGAGUAACACGUGGAUAACCUACCUAUAAGACUGGGAUAACUUCGGGAAACCGGAGCUAAUACCGGAUAAUAUUUUGAACCGCAUGGUUCAAAAGUGAAAGACGGUCCUGCUGUCACUUAUAGAUGGAUCCGCGCUGCAUUAGCUAGUUGGUAAGGUAACGGCUUACCAAGGCAACGAUGCAUAGCCGACCUGAGAGGGUGAUCGGCCACACUGGAACUGAGACACGGUCCAGACUCCUACGGGAGGCAGCAGUAGGGAAUCUUCCGCAAUGGGCGAAAGCCUGACGGAGCAACGCCGCGUGAGUGAUGAAGGUCUUCGGAUCGUAAAACUCUGUUAUUAGGGAAGAACAUAUGUGUAAGUAACUGUGCACAUCUUGACGGUACCUAAUCAGAAAGCCACGGCUAACUACGUG
This 496-nucleotide ribosomal RNA is filed under the name uncultured bacterium. RNAcentral describes it as "partial 16S ribosomal RNA". It matches the Rfam family "Bacterial small subunit ribosomal RNA", at positions 29 to 507 of the family's 1533-position model. The record is from RNAcentral.